GAGAUAUAUGAGGAUACUGAAAGGUUAGAAGAUCUUACCUAUUUUGCCUAUUUGCUGAUUGUGAGCUGUUAGCUUUGAAGAAGCAGCAGACAGUGAAAAUUGGCGAGUCGCGAUGGAUGAAGAGAUCAAAGCCAUAAAGAAGAAUGAUACAUGGGAGCUCGUGACAUUACCAAAAUGGCACAAGGCCAUUGGAGUCAAGUGGGUGUAUAAAGUUAAGAAGAAUUCCAAAGGUGAAGUGGAAAGAUAUAAAGCGAGGCUCGUCGUGAAAGGAUAUAGUCAAAGAGCUGGAAUCGAUUAUGAUGAGGUAUUUGCUCCCGUCGCUCGCUUAGAAACUAUUAGACUAAUACUCUCUCUUGCAGCCCAAAAUAGAUGGAAGAUUUAUCAAAUGGAUGUCAAGUCAGCCUUCUUGAAUGGGUAUAUAGACAAAGAAGUCUAUAUCAAGCAACCAAUGGGCUACGAGGUAAAAGGGCAAGAGAUAAAGUCUUGAAGUUAAAGAAGGCCCUAUACGGACUAAAGCAAGCACCAAGGGCAUGGAAUAGCAGGAUCGAUAAGUACUUGGAGGAGAAUGGUUUCACCAAAUGCCCUCACGAGCAUGCUCUCUACGUUAAAGUCAAUGGAGAGGAUAUAUUAAUUGUGUGCUUGUAUGUAGAUGAUUUGAUCUUCACAGGAAAUAAUCCAAAGAUGAUUGAGGAGUUCAAGAAGGCCAUGUCAAAGGAGUUUGAGAUAACCGACAUUGGGCUGAAGGCGUACUAUCUCGGUGUGGAAGUCAAGCAACUCGAAGAUGGGAUCUUCAUCACACAAGAAGCAUAUGCCAAGGAAAUUCUCAAGAAGUUCAAGAUGGAGGACUGCAAAGCAAUCAACACGCCAGUGGAAUGCGGGAUAAAAUUAUCCAAGAACGAUGGAGGAGAAAAGGUGGACCCGACAUUAUUCAAGAGCCUGGUUGGAAGCUUACGGUACUUAACUUGCACAAGGCCGGACAUUCUUUAUGCGACAGGACUCGUGAGUCGCUAUAUGGAGAAUCCAACCACUACGCAUUCAAGGCAGCAAAGAGAAUCUUCGAUAUCUCAAAGGUACGCUCAACUAUGGCCUAUUCUAUUCAAGUACUGAUGAUUAUAAGCUUGUUGGCUAUAGUGAUAGCGACUGGGCCGGAGACAAUGACGAUCGCAAGAGUACAAGCGGUUUCGUAUUUUUUAUGGGAGACACUGCUUUCACCUGGAUGUCAAAGAAGCAACCCAUAGUCACACUAUCAACAUGUGAAGCUGAAUAUGUGGCUGCCACAUCCAGUGUUUGUCAUGCAGUUUGGCUACGAAGUUUACUGGAAGAGCUUGGGUGGCCACAAAAGGAGCCAACAACGAUUUGUGUGGAUAAUAAGUCAGCAAUCACGCUCUCAAAGAAUCCGGUGUUUCAUAAUCGAAGUAAGCAUAUUGACACCCGCUUCCACUACAUCAGAGAAUGCAUCGCAAAGAAAGAAGUUCAAGUGGAAUACGUGAAAUCACAAGAUCAAGUUGCAGACAUCUUCACAAAGCCACUCAAGUAUGAAGACUUUAUCAAGUUCAGAAGUUUGCUCGGAAUAAACAAAUCAAGUUUAAGGGGGAGUGUUGGAAUAAUAAAUUAUUAAACUUGAUUUGUAGAAGGAAAAAUCUAGAAUAAAGAUAUUUUGUAUAAAUAAAAGAAAAAGAGAGAAUAAUCUAGAAUCUCCUAGCUAGCUAAAGUGCCGUGUGGAAUUAGGAAAUAAUAUUAGAAGAUCAAUCUAGAAGAACUAAUUAAAACCACAAGUUGAAGUCGGUGAUCUAGUAAUCACCGACAUAAUACUUCUAUAAAUAUGUAUUGUGCUCCAUUAGUUGAAGUGAGUAGAAAAAAAAGCAUAAAGUGUUUUAUUUGUUUUAUUCACUUUCUUAUCACUUACACACACACACGUCCACUCACACACUUGCACAAUAUUUCUCCAUAUUUUCUCCCAUCAAUUAAAUAAAAUUCUCCAUUUAUAUAUACUUAUAUUCCAACAAAGAAAUGGUGAAAAAUUGGAGGAUGUUAGAAUUAUGGAGAAAAUAUUGAGCUCACUAACCCCAAAGUUUGAGCACAUUGUGGUGACGAUUGAAGAAAUUAAAAAUUUGGAGGAGUUGACGAUCGAUCUCUUGUUGGGGUCGCUGCAAGCAUAUGAGGAUAAUCAAAAGAAGAAGCAAGAGAUUUCAGAGCAACUUUUAAAGUUGCAAGUAAGCCCGAAAGAGAAAGAAGAAGGUCCGAGCAAUGGCCAUGGACAAUCCGGAAGAGGACGUGGCCAAGGACAAGAUCGAGGAAGAGGCCGAGCACGUGGACGUGGUCGAGGACGAGGAGGCUUUGUCAACAAUGGUGAAAGAAAUGAGUUUACAAGUGGUCGGGGGAGGAGCAACCCGCAGUCGAGGUACGAUAAAUCUUCGAUAAAGUGUUAUAAUUGCCAUAAAUUUGGGCACUAUGCUUCCGAGUGCAGAAGUGAAAAAGUAAGGAUUGAAAAAAGGGCCAAUUAUGCCGAGAACACGAGCGAAGCAAAUGGUAGUGUGCUUCUGGCAUAUAAAGGAGAAGCUGGAAGAGAUGACACGUGGUACCUCGACACCGGUGCAAGCAACCACAUGUGCGGGAAGAGAAACAUGUUCGUGGAGCUUGAUGAGUCGGUAAGUGGAAAUGUCUCCUUUGGUGAUGAAUCUAAAAUCCCAGUUAAAGGAAAAGGGAAAUUUUAAUUCGCUUGAAGAAUGGAAAUCAUGAAUUUAUUUCCAACGUUUAUUACGUGCCCAAUAUGAAAAAUAAUAUCUUGAGUUUGGGACAACUCUUAGAGAAAGGUUAUGAUAUUCACAUGAGAGAUUAUAACCUUUCAAUAAGAGAUGGCAAAAAUAAUCUUAUUGCCAAGGUGCCAAUGUCUAAAAAUAGAAUGUUCUUAUUGAAUAUUCGAAAUGACGUGGCAAAAUGCCUGAAAGCAUGUUACCAAGAUAAGUCUUGGUUGUGGCAUCUUCGGUUUGGGCACUUAAAUUUUGACGGUUUGGAGUUACUGUCAAAAAAAGAGAUGGUCAGAGGCCUACCAUCCAUCAAGCAUCCCGAUCAACUCAGCGAAGGUUGUAUACUCGGGAAGCAGUUCAGAAAGCCAUUCCCAAAGGAGUCAAGCUCAAGAGCUCAAAAGCCACUGGAGUUGAUUCAUGCUGACGUGUGUGGGCCAAUAAAUCCAAGCUCCCUCGGUAAAAAUAAUUAUUUUCUGCUAUUCAUUGAUGAUUUUUCUAGAAAAACGUGGGUAUAUUUCUUGAAGCAGAAAUCAGAAGUAUUUGAUGCAUUCAAGAAAUUCAAAGUUGCCGUCGAGAAGGAGAGCGGAACGCAAAUCAAGGCCCUGAGGUCCGAUCGAGGGGGAGAAUUCACAUCAAGGGAGUUUCUAGAAUUUUGCGAAGCAAAUGGAAUUCGACGGCCCCUGACUGUUCCGAGAUCCCCCCAACAGAACGGAGUGGCGGAAAGAAAAAAUAGGACAAUCAUGGAGAUGGCGAGGAGCAUGCUAAAGACGAAGAAUCUGCCUAAAGAGUUUUGGGCCGAAGCAGUGGCGUGCGCGGUGUACCUAUCCAACCGAUCACCGACAAGGAGCGUGUGGGGAAUGACUCCACAAGAAGCCUGGAGCGGGAGAAAGCCAGGAAUUUCCCACCUAAAGGUAUUUGGAAGCAAAGCCUACGUACAUGUACCAGAUGAGAGAAGGAAGAAGUUCGAUGAUAAAAGUGAAGCAUUCAUCUUUAUCGGGUACGACUCUAACUCUAAAGGCUAUAAGUUAUAUAAUCCAAAUACCAAGAAAACAAUGAUAAGUCGAGACGUGGAGUUCGACGAAGAAGGAGUCUGGGAUUUCAGCUCCAGCGGUGACUUCACCUACAUCCCACAGUUAGAAGAACAAAGAGCAGAAGAGCAAGUUGGAGAAGUCCAACAAGAGCCAGUGACUCCACCAGCUUCACCAGUGCCAGUCACUGAAGACUCGCCACCAUCUUUCUUAAAUGAAAGAGCCACACCACGAGCAAGGAAUUUGGAUGAGAUAUAUGAAGACACUGAAAGGUUAGAAGAUCUCACCUUGUUUUGCCUAUCUGCUGAUUAUGAACCUAAAGCAGCAAAUAGUGAAAAUUGGCGAGUUGCAAUGGACGAAGAGAUUAAAGCUAUAAACAAGAAUGAUACGUGUGAGCUCGUGACACUACCGGAAAGGCACAAGACCAUUGGAGUCAAGUGGGUGAAUAAGGUUAAGAAGAAUUCCAAAGGUGAAGUUGAAAGAUAUAAAGCAAGGCACGUCAUGAAAGGAUUUCGCCAAAUUCAGAAGUUUGCUCGGAAUGAAAAAUCAAGUUUAAGGGGGAGUGUUGGAAUAUAAAAAUAAACUUGAUUUUUUAAGUGAAGAUAUUUGUAUUAGAAAUAUCUAGAAUGAAGAUAUUUGUAUUAGAAAUAUCUAGAAUCAAGAUAUUUUAAGAAGAAAAAGAAAGAAAGAAAAAUAUAGAGAAUUCUAGAAAAAGUGACUAAGUGAAGAUAUUUUGUAAUAGUAAAAUAAGUAUAAAAAU
Molecule: long non-coding RNA, 4535 nt
Filed under: Salvia miltiorrhiza (redroot sage)
Lineage: Eukaryota; Viridiplantae; Streptophyta; Magnoliopsida; Lamiales; Lamiaceae
Description: long non-coding RNA (SMIL_LNC004993)
Source: RNAcentral